RNAcentral lists this ribosomal RNA (76 nucleotides) under Lacticaseibacillus casei. RNAcentral describes it as "Lactobacillus casei partial 16S ribosomal RNA". It matches the Rfam family "Bacterial small subunit ribosomal RNA", at positions 1 to 73 of the family's 1533-position model. The record is from RNAcentral. Lineage: Bacteria; Bacillati; Bacillota; Bacilli; Lactobacillales; Lactobacillaceae.
UAUUUAUAUGAGAGUUUGAUCCUGGCUCAGGAUGAACGCUGGCGGCGUGCCUAAUACAUGCAAGUCGAACGAGUUC